Molecule: RNA transcript, 1038 nt
Organism: Anarrhichthys ocellatus (wolf-eel)
Lineage: Eukaryota; Metazoa; Chordata; Actinopteri; Perciformes; Anarhichadidae
Gene: rwdd4
Gene name: RWD domain containing 4
Exons: 7
Source: RefSeq, a predicted model, not a curated record
GAGCCUAACUGCGCAUGCGUGUAAUGUGGUGGCAAUAGCUGUACUAACUGGGGAAGUUGUGAAAUUAUUAUCAUAGUUUUAACAAGCGAAAUGGGUUGUUGACUGUGGGACUCGUAUAAACUCUACACAGAGAGUAUCCUACAGGAAGAGAAGGAAACCAUGACGGCUAACGAGGAUCAGGAGAUGGAGCUGGAGGCUCUUCGCUCCAUCUAUGAGGGGGAUGAGUGUUUCAAGGAAAUCUCUCCAGUUUCCUUUCAGUUUAGGAUAGGAGACCGUGAGGACACCAAAGCCUUCAUCCUGGACCUCACAUGGCCUGAGAUGUACCCUGAGACGGCCCCGCAGAUCUCCCUAGAUGCCUUUUUCAACAACAGAAUCUCUGCAGGGACCAAGCAGCUGAUCCUGUCAAAGCUGGAGGAGCAGGUGGAGGCCAACCUGGGCACCGCCAUGAUGUAUACUCUGUUCGAGUGGGCCAAGGAGAACCAGGGGGCCCUCAUGGAGAACCACAAGCCUGUAGUCACCGCUGUGACGUCCAGCAGCGACGCCGCCUCAACAGGCAAGAAGAAGGAGAAGAAGGAGCAGCUGACUAAAUCUCAGAAGAAGAGGAUCAUCAACAGAACAGAUAACAAAGGGGAAUUGCCAAGAGGUUGGAACUGGGCUGACGUUAUCAAAGUAGGUGACGUUUACCUUCUCUCCAUGAGGUGGUGCACUUAUUCAGUUUGAAGCCUGCAGUGACUUUCAUCACGAACCUUUUGAUUCAAUUGUCUUUCUCUCCUCCGUCCCCUCUGCCUGACAAUCCUCCAGCAUUUGAGUAGAACGGGAGGAAAAGAUGACGAAUAGGCCCGAGAGCAGCCGUCCGGUGCUGCUUUGUUACAAGGAGGCGCAGUGAAGACUGAACUCAGUGCAGCCUGUUGAUGCUGCUGCUCCUGGCAAGACGCCUUCACGUCCUUCAUCUUCAACAUAUAACACUCAACAUGGCUGCUGUCCCCCUGAGAACCAAAGCAGGCUGGGUAACGGUGGACUUCAGGUCUCUCUCUCGCA